GACGUAGGGCGCGAGCGUUGUCCGGAUUUAUUGGGCGUAAAGAGCUCGUAGGCGGUUUGUCGCGUCGGAUGUGAAAGCCCGGGGCUUAACUCCGGGUCUGCAUUCGAUACGGGCAGGCUCGAGUUCGGUAGGGGAGACUGGAAUUCCUGGUGUAGCGGUGAAAUGCGCAGAUAUCAGGAGGAACACCGGUGGCGAAGGCGGGUCCUGCCUGGGCCGAUGACUG
Molecule: ribosomal RNA, 223 nt
Filed under: uncultured bacterium
Lineage: Bacteria
Description: partial 16S ribosomal RNA
Rfam family: Bacterial small subunit ribosomal RNA
Source: RNAcentral